AUCGCUUCUCGGCCUUUUGGCUAAGAUCAAGUGUAGUAUCUGUUCUUAUCAGUUUGACCCGGUGGUCAAGAUUACGCCGGUGUUGGACUGGUGGGGAUGGGUGCUGCAUGGAGGGGACAGGUGUACCAGGGAGUUCCGGGGCUGGUUCUGAGGAAUCAGAUCGAUGGCUCAUUUUGCACCUUUU
Small nuclear RNA from Hyla sarda, 184 nucleotides. RefSeq annotates it as U2 spliceosomal RNA. The record is from RefSeq and is a predicted model, not a curated record. The transcript has a single exon. NCBI's taxonomy places the organism in Eukaryota, Metazoa, Chordata, Amphibia, Anura, Hylidae.